Gallus gallus (chicken) is the source of this 2150-nucleotide long non-coding RNA. RefSeq lists it as uncharacterized. The transcript is spliced from 2 exons. The record is from RefSeq and is a predicted model, not a curated record. Lineage: Eukaryota; Metazoa; Chordata; Aves; Galliformes; Phasianidae.
UCUGGGCUGGCAAAUGCAUCCAGUGUCUCUUCUACACACUGCAUAAUUAAAACAACUCUGAAGUAUCAUUUCUCAGGUUGCCUGUAAAGAGCAUCAUCUUACUUUAUAAGCUUUACGCAAAUAAUAGGCAUUUGAAAGGGAAAACUGAUGACACAGAGCUGCCUUUUUUUUUUUUUUUUGGUGGGAUUUUUUUGUUGAUCAGCCAAAUCAACAAAACUAUUGACUGUUGUGUAGCUAUGUCAUGGACCUGGGUAAAUUAAAAUGAAGAGCUAGAGAAGACUAUAAUUGUUGAAAGGGCAACUGCUACAAAUAUCAGUACUUAUAAACAGCUGCCUCAUAUUUCUCAGUAACUUUCUAUAGAGAUAAAUGACAGUGAAAUACAUGGCUGUAAUAGUCAUUAUGGAAAAUAUUGCAUUUUAGCAGUGACAUUUUCUGCAUUGCAUAACACAAAGUAAUGUUUUGAUGCAAAAUACAAAGUAGGAUUCUGUGGAAUGACAGGACACAAAACUAAAUCUGCCACAGGCAUCUAUAGAAAGAUUGUUUCAACAUAAAAACUGGUAGUCUGAGAAAAUGUUCUCUGCUGGUUUUUUUGCAUCAAUAUUUUUUUUUACUCUGAUAUUUUCUCCAUCUUGUGUCUCCAUGAGGAGGAAAGAACACCCUGCGUAGGAAGACCUGCUACAUGGAGGCAGACUGAAUUGCUAUAUACCUCAAGCAGCAGACAAUUAUAGACGCUCACAGAAGUCAGUAAAUCACAUUCUGCUUAGAAAACCACUCUGGAGAUAUGACAAGUGGAUUGAAGUUGAGCUGGCACAGCUUCACUUCUGCUCAAACCAUCCCUAUGAAAACCAAACGUACACUAAAACAAAUGGUAAAUUCAGAAUGUCUUUUGUAAUGUGAAAUCCUGAUUAAAAGCAGACAAAACAUUGCAAAGUGUACACUGAUUAGAAACUGAGGAGAAAAGAGAUGCCCUCAGCUUGCCAUCUUUGUGAGCACAGGUCCGAGGCAGACAGCCAUAUCCUCAGAUGAGUAGUUCCUUAUAGUGUUCAUUGAGCUCAUAAAUUAGUUUCCUUUCUUAGGAAUAUUUGACUUUAAAGAACACAAAGAUCCCUGAUCACUCUUUACUGCAUUUGAAUCAAUCACUGUUGCAGUGCAAUAUUUAUAUUUGAAGCAAAAUGUUUAUGCAAAAAAGCUAGUGUUAAUCUGAAUGGCAUUUCAUUUGACAACACGUGCAAACCAAUACUGUAUAGGAAGAAGACUCCUACAGAACAGCAUAGCUAUGGAGAACAGAAAUAGGACAAAGCCAAGAUCAUAGAAUAAAUAUCAUUACUUCUGGUAUACUGAAAGAAGAUAUUUUCAUCACGUCACAUUAGUCUAAAGGCAACUAAAUCACUUUAACUGGUAGGACUUCUUAGUGAGAUAUUUUUCUACAGAGCCAGCUGGCACAGUUUUAAUGUCUCCUCUUCUCUAGCUCUUAAUGCUUCCCUGCAUAUUGGUGGUUGUUUCUUUUUUUGUUUUUGGGGAGGGGGGUGUUUGUCAUAUUCCUUUCUAUCUAUGACUUCAAAUUUUCAUAAUAAAUAAAAUUUAUGAUAAAAUAAAAUAACUGAUAAAAUUGUUUUUAUGGCGAGAUUCAUCAAACUAGAUAUAAAUUUGGAUAUAUGGAUGAGAAAUCCACAGGUGAGCUAUUCCUCCAUAUUCUUUUCUGAGUCAAUGGAGAAAAACAGGCUACUUUACAGCUCAAUUACCUGAGCUAUUGUUUAUGUAUUAUGUUUGUGUGUUAUGUUCAUUAAGAUGGUACGUACGACAUCUCAGAAGUAUUUCUUUCUUUCUUUUGCCACCAGGAGGAUGAUGUAUAACUAGUUCCUAGGUAGAUGUCCACUACAGAUAUACAUAUUGAUCAAAGGUAUCCCAUCCUCUGAACAUUUGGAUUAGGAUGCUAACAAAGAAAGACUCCCACACAUGUGCCCCUCAUACUUGUUUUGAAGGCUGAAAAAAUAACAUGCUGCCAAACAUAAUGGAGAAAAUACAUGGAAAGGAAAGGAAGUCAUAUCUUCUGACAUUUUAUACGUUCAGUUGAUUGGCAUAAUGAACUCACUGCUUGGAUCUCUUUGUAAGGAAUAAAUCACAUCCUGCUGUACUAUUUACAUGAAUGA